UUGCAAAGCACUCUGAAAAGAGGGUGAAAAGAACCUGAAACCGUUAUGUUGGAAGCGUAUUGCAGCAGAGUGAAGGGGGGCAUCUUGUUCAGCUUGCGCUUGCGUAGGUGUACUCGAGAUGUUUUCCGCCAGUCGUGAGCUUUCGGUGGCUGAUUUAUCAGUUGCCGGGGGUGGAGGGCUCCCCUUUUAUGGGUGAGGACGAAUCUGGAUAAUGCUGUGAUUCGACCCGUCUUGAAACACGGACCAAGAAGUCUAGCGUGCCUGCGAGUCAAAGGGUGUCAAAACCUGAGGGCGCAGUGAAAGCAAUCUUAAAAACGUUGCAGUUUGAGGCGGCAUACGAUCGUUGAUCGUAGGUCCGACCUAGAGCAUGUAUGCUAGGACCCGAAAGAUGGUGAACUAUGCUUGAGUAGGGUGAAGCCAGGAGAAAUCCUGGUGGAAGCUCGUAGCGGUGCUGACGUGCAAAUCGCUCGUCUAACUUGAGUAUAGGGGCGAAAGACUAAUCGAACCAUCUGGUAGCUGGUUUUCUCCGAAGUUUCUCUCAGGAUAGCGGACCGAUAAGUGUUGUUGUGUGC
RNAcentral lists this ribosomal RNA (572 nucleotides) under Polysiphonia sp. 2paniculata. Its description in RNAcentral is "eukaryotic LSU rRNA". It matches the Rfam family "Eukaryotic large subunit ribosomal RNA", at positions 364 to 1006 of the family's 3401-position model. The record is from RNAcentral. Lineage: Eukaryota; Rhodophyta; Florideophyceae; Ceramiales; Rhodomelaceae. RNAcentral also lists the same sequence under 1 other name.